This 1053-nucleotide ribosomal RNA is filed under the name Vibrio sp. Its description in RNAcentral is "bacterial SSU rRNA". It matches the Rfam family "Bacterial small subunit ribosomal RNA", at positions 75 to 1125 of the family's 1533-position model. Lineage: Bacteria; Pseudomonadati; Pseudomonadota; Gammaproteobacteria; Vibrionales; Vibrionaceae. The record is from RNAcentral.
CUUGUUUCUCGGGUGGCGAGCGGCGGACGGGUGAGUAAUGCCUGGGAAAUUGCCCUGAUGUGGGGGAUAACCAUUGGAAACGAUGGCUAAUACCGCAUGAUAGCUUCGGCUCAAAGAGGGGGACCUUCGGGCCUCUCGCGUCAGGAUAUGCCCAGGUGGGAUUAGCUAGUUGGUGAGGUAAUGGCUCACCAAGGCGACGAUCCCUAGCUGGUCUGAGAGGAUGAUCAGCCACACUGGAACUGAGACACGGUCCAGACUCCUACGGGAGGCAGCAGUGGGGAAUAUUGCACAAUGGGCGCAAGCCUGAUGCAGCCAUGCCGCGUGUGUGAAGAAGGCCUUCGGGUUGUAAAGCACUUUCAGUCGUGAGGAAGGUGGUAGUGUUAAUAGCACUAUCAUUUGACGUUAGCGACAGAAGAAGCACCGGCUAACUCCGUGCCAGCAGCCGCGGUAAUACGGAGGGUGCGAGCGUUAAUCGGAAUUACUGGGCGUAAAGCGCAUGCAGGUGGUUUGUUAAGUCAGAUGUGAAAGCCCGGGGCUCAACCUCGGAAUAGCAUUUGAAACUGGCAAGCUAGAGUACUGUAGAGGGGGGUAGAAUUUCAGGUGUAGCGGUGAAAUGCGUAGAGAUCUGAAGGAAUACCGGUGGCGAAGGCGGCCCCCUGGACAGAUACUGACACUCAGAUGCGAAAGCGUGGGGAGCAAACAGGAUUAGAUACCCUGGUAGUCCACGCCGUAAACGAUGUCUACUUGGAGGUUGUGGCCUUGAGCCGUGGCUUUCGGAGCUAACGCGUUAAGUAGACCGCCUGGGGAGUACGGUCGCAAGAUUAAAACUCAAAUGAAUUGACGGGGGCCCGCACAAGCGGUGGAGCAUGUGGUUUAAUUCGAUGCAACGCGAAGAACCUUACCUACUCUUGACAUCCAGAGAAUCCUGCGGAGACGCGGGAGUGCCUUCGGGAACUCUGAGACAGGUGCUGCAUGGCUGUCGUCAGCUCGUGUUGUGAAAUGUUGGGUUAAGUCCCGCAACGAGCGCAACCCUUAUCCUUGUUUGCCAGCGAG